RNAcentral lists this transfer RNA (66 nucleotides) under Cecropis daurica. RNAcentral's name for it is "tRNA-Cys". Lineage: Eukaryota; Metazoa; Chordata; Aves; Passeriformes; Hirundinidae. The record is from RNAcentral.
AGCUCUGUGGUGAAAUUCAUGGUGAGUUGCAAGCUCAUCGAUGUGCGUUAGUGCGUGCCGGAGCUU